GGAGGCCAUUUUAGAGGUGGGGAAACUGAGGCGCGAAUUGCCCACGGUCACCCAGCAGACCAGUGACAGAACUGGGUUUAGAACCCAGGUCUCCCGAGUCCCAGUCUAAUGCUCAAACUACUAGGCCGCUAGGCCCCAUCUUUGUUGUUAAACUUGGCACCUGGCCCAUACGUAACCUGAACAAAGCAUCUGCUUGGCUUUCUCUGAAUAUGUUUGGUUUUGAAGUCGUCUGGGUUCAAUUGCAACGCUUGUCCUCAGUAGGUGCAGUUCUGACAUAGAUACACUAUGUAGCGCCAUCUCCUAACUAAAACAGCUGGGGUCAUCUGUUUGUGCUCUCUGGGAAUUGAUCAGCCAUGUGGUACGGCUUGGAAAAGGAGGAUGUGUUUUGGACCUAGGGUUAAUUUUUUUUUUUUUUUUUUUUUUUUUGGCAGUUGUUCUUCAACAUGUUUCUACAUAUCUGCUAAGGAACUCAAACACUGCAUUGCUGUUAACUCUAGAGAGAGGAUAUAUGAUUGGUGGGAUCACAUAAGAUCUACAUUAUCCUCCAGCCACCAAGGAAUUGAAGAUCGGGUCCUAUUUAUAUGUCAUAGUGCACGUAUGGAACUGAGAGCUGGAAGAGUGGUUUCUAAAGAUUUCAGCAGGCCGUAGGAUGGGGAGGUACCCCCUUCUUCCUACAGUUGGAGUUCUAUAGUGAUGAUGACUUCUUCGCUGCUGCCCACAAGGUGCUUCAUCUCCUCCAUUGCUCCACAGCCCUCAAAACCAUCAAACAGGGCCUAAUCCUGCAGGGUGCUGACUCCCUCCACCUAUCACUGUUCUAGAGAAUGGCAGGAGCAAAUCCUGAGGAACUGCAGUGACACCUGACUCUCCAGAAGCCAGUGCAAAGGGGGAAUGGCAUAUAUUUGGAAUCACAAUCAGUCUUAAAUGCAAGGGGUUUAAUAAAGAACACAGUGCUAACUAUAGACCA
RNAcentral lists this long non-coding RNA (964 nucleotides) under Chrysemys picta bellii (western painted turtle). Its description in RNAcentral is "lncRNA (ENSCPBG00000001828.1)". The record is from RNAcentral. Lineage: Eukaryota; Metazoa; Chordata; Testudines; Emydidae.